GUGGUAAUGCCGGAUGCUCCAGUUGGAUGCAUGUCCUUCUGGGAAAGAUUCAUCGGUAUGGGAUGGGGUCGCGUCCUAUCAGCUUGAUGGCGGGGUAACGGCCCACCAUGGCUUCGACGGGUAGCCGGCCUGAGAGGGCGACCGGCCACAUUGGGACUGAGAUACGGCCCAGACUCCUACGGGAGGCAGCAGUGGGGAAUAUUGCACAAUGGGCGCAAGCCUGAUGCAGCGACGCCGCGUGCGGGAUGACGGCCUUCGGGUUGUAAACCGCUUUUGACUGGGAGCAAGCCCUUCGGGGUGAGUGUACCUUUCGAAUAAGCACCGGCUAACUACGUGCCAGCAGCCGCGGUAAUACGUAGGGUGCAAGCGUUAUCCGGAAUUAUUGGGCGUAAAGGGCUCGUAGGCGGUUCGUCGCGUCCGGUGUGAAAGUCCAUCGCUUAACGGUGGAUCCGCGCCGGGUACGGGCGGGCUUGAGUGCGGUAGGGGAGACUGGAAUUCCCGGUGUAACGGUGGAAUGUGUAGAUAUCGGGAAAAGAACACCA
RNAcentral lists this ribosomal RNA (542 nucleotides) under Bifidobacterium adolescentis. RNAcentral's name for it is "bacterial SSU rRNA". It matches the Rfam family "Bacterial small subunit ribosomal RNA", at positions 160 to 711 of the family's 1533-position model. Lineage: Bacteria; Bacillati; Actinomycetota; Actinomycetes; Bifidobacteriales; Bifidobacteriaceae. The record is from RNAcentral.